AUGAACAAGCAUCAAGUGAAGAAACUGAUAAGGAUUAUUAGCAAAAAGACACGAAUGGUGGCAAGUAAAUUAUUAGUUUAUGCUCUAUCCAACACAACAGUGAGCUGUAGGAUGUGGUUCCCGAAGCAGUUCACUCAAGAUUACCUCGCAAAGUACACGAUUGGUGGACACACAAUGAAGGUUAAAGUAUUUCAUCCAAACUACAAUGAGCAUCGAGAAGUCCUAAGGAAGACAGUGAAGGAUGGACGGGCAGCCAUCACAAGGGGUUGGCCUAGAGUCGUGCGCACCUUACACAUGGAGGAGGGCACAAUAUGGGCAUUUCGCUUCACCUUCUCCAGCAACCAGAAUGUCUUUCUCCUCUCUCUUUAUACUCUUUAG
This 378-nucleotide ribosomal RNA is filed under the name Triticum aestivum (bread wheat). Its description in RNAcentral is "partial small subunit ribosomal RNA". Lineage: Eukaryota; Viridiplantae; Streptophyta; Magnoliopsida; Poales; Poaceae. The record is from RNAcentral.